UACGUAGGGUGCGAGCGUUGUCCGGAAUUACUGGGCGUAAAGAGCUCGUAGGUGGUUUGUCGCGUUGUUCGUGAAAACCGGGGGCUUAACCCUCGGCGUGCGGGCGAUACGGGCAGACUUGAGUACUGCAGGGGAGACUGGAAUUCCUGGUGUAGCGGUGGAAUGCGCAGAUAUCAGGAAGAACACCCGUGGCGAAGGCGGUUCUCUGGGACGGUACUGACGCUGAGACGCGAAAGCGUGGGGAGCGAACAGG
RNAcentral lists this ribosomal RNA (253 nucleotides) under uncultured bacterium. RNAcentral's name for it is "partial 16S ribosomal RNA". It matches the Rfam family "Bacterial small subunit ribosomal RNA", at positions 524 to 776 of the family's 1533-position model. The record is from RNAcentral.